AGCGAACGCUGGCGGCAGGCCUAACACAUGCAAGUCGAACGAACUCUUCGGAGUUAGUGGCGGACGGGUGAGUAACACGUGGGAACGUGCCUUUAGGUUCGGAAUAACUCAGGGAAACUUGUGCUAAUACCGAAUGUGCCCUUCGGGGGAAAGAUUUAUCGCCUUUAGAGCGGCCCGCGUCUGAUUAGCUAGUUGGUGAGGUAAAGGCUCACCAAGGCGACGAUCAGUAGCUGGUCUGAGAGGAUGAUCAGCCACAUUGGGACUGAGACACGGCCCAAACUCCUACGGGAGGCAGCAGUGGGGAAUCUUGCGCAAUGGGCGAAAGCCUGACGCAGCCAGGCCGCGUGAAUGAUGAAGGUCUUAGGAUUGUAAAAUUCUUUCACCGGGGACGAUAAUGACGGUACCCGGAGAAGAAGCCCCGGCGAACUUCGU
Molecule: ribosomal RNA, 432 nt
Filed under: uncultured bacterium
Lineage: Bacteria
Description: partial 16S ribosomal RNA
Rfam family: Bacterial small subunit ribosomal RNA
Source: RNAcentral